Molecule: ribosomal RNA, 315 nt
Filed under: Triticum aestivum (bread wheat)
Lineage: Eukaryota; Viridiplantae; Streptophyta; Magnoliopsida; Poales; Poaceae
Description: partial small subunit ribosomal RNA
Source: RNAcentral
AUGCUUUCACAACUUGACUUCAAAAUAUUUGGUUUGGAGACCAUCAAAGAUCAAUAUGUGCAUGAUGCUGAUUUUAAAGAUGUAAUGCAGAAUUGUAAAGAAGGAAGAAUGUGGAACAAGUUCGUCGUUAACGAUGGAUUUGUGUUUCGUGCUAACAAGCUAUGCAUUCCAGCUAGAUCCGUUCGUCUUUUGUUGUUGCAGGAGGCGCAUGGAGGAGGAUUAAUGGGACACUUUGGCGUGAAGAAGACGGAGGACGUACUUGCUACACAUUUCUUUUGGCCAAAGAUGAGACGGGAUGUUGAGCGGCUGUUUUGA